This 450-nucleotide ribosomal RNA is filed under the name uncultured bacterium. RNAcentral describes it as "partial 16S ribosomal RNA". It matches the Rfam family "Bacterial small subunit ribosomal RNA", at positions 354 to 796 of the family's 1533-position model. The record is from RNAcentral.
GUGGGGAAUAUUGGACAAUGGGCGAAAGCCUGAUCCAGCCAUGCCGCGUGUGUGAAGAAGGUCUUCGGAUUGUAAAGCACUUUAAGUUGGGAGGAAGGGCAGUAAGUUAAUACCUUGCUGUUUUGACGUUACCGACAGAAUAAGCACCGGCUAACUUCGUGCCAGCAGCCGCGGUAAUACGAAGGGUGCAAGCGUUAAUCGGAAUUACUGGGCGUAAAGCGCGCGUAGGUGGUUUUGUAAGUUGGAGGUGAAAUCCCCGGGCUCAACCUGGGAACUGCCUCCAAAACUGCAGGACUAGAGUACGGUAGAGGGUAGGGGAAUAUCCUGUGUAGCGGUGACAUGCGUAGAUAUAAGAAGGAACACCCGUGGCGAAGGCGACUACCUGGGCUGAUACUGACACUGAGGUGCGAAAGCGUGGGGAGCAAACAGGAUUAGAUACCCCUGUAGUCC